RNAcentral lists this ribosomal RNA (215 nucleotides) under Enterobacter kobei. Its description in RNAcentral is "partial 16S ribosomal RNA". It matches the Rfam family "Bacterial small subunit ribosomal RNA", at positions 1319 to 1533 of the family's 1533-position model. The record is from RNAcentral. Lineage: Bacteria; Pseudomonadati; Pseudomonadota; Gammaproteobacteria; Enterobacterales; Enterobacteriaceae.
CAUGAAGUCGGAAUCGCUAGUAAUCGUAGAUCAGAAUGCUACGGUGAAUACGUUCCCGGGCCUUGUACACACCGCCCGUCACACCAUGGGAGUGGGUUGCAAAAGAAGUAGGUAGCUUAACCUUCGGGAGGGCGCUUACCACUUUGUGAUUCAUGACUGGGGUGAAGUCGUAACAAGGUAACCGUAGGGGAACCUGCGGUUGGAUCACCUCCUUA